This 250-nucleotide ribosomal RNA is filed under the name uncultured bacterium. RNAcentral describes it as "partial 16S ribosomal RNA". It matches the Rfam family "Bacterial small subunit ribosomal RNA", at positions 524 to 776 of the family's 1533-position model. The record is from RNAcentral.
UACGGAGGGUGCAAGCGUUAUCCGGAUUCACUGGGUUUAAAGGGUGCGUAGGUGGGCAGGUAAGUCAGUGGUGAAUCUCCGGCUUAACCCGGAACUGCCGUUGAUACUAUCUGUCUUGAAUAUAGUGGAGGUGAGCGGAAUAUGUCAUGUAGCGGUGAAAUGCUUAGAUAUGACAUAGAACACCAAUUGCGAAGGCAGCUCACUACACGGUCAUUGACACUGAGGCACGAAAGCGUGGGGAUCAAACAGG